GGGCAGCUGGUGGGUGCAGGACAUCGCCGCCUCGCUCCCGGCGCGGCUGCUUGGCAAGGGGCCGGGCAGCGUGCUCGACCUGUGCGCCGCGCC
RNAcentral lists this transfer RNA (93 nucleotides) under Sphingomonas glacialis. Its description in RNAcentral is "tRNA-Gly". The record is from RNAcentral. Lineage: Bacteria; Pseudomonadati; Pseudomonadota; Alphaproteobacteria; Sphingomonadales; Sphingomonadaceae.